RNAcentral lists this ribosomal RNA (492 nucleotides) under uncultured bacterium. RNAcentral describes it as "partial 16S ribosomal RNA". It matches the Rfam family "Bacterial small subunit ribosomal RNA", at positions 29 to 507 of the family's 1533-position model. The record is from RNAcentral.
AGUGAACGCUGGCGGUAGGCCUAACACAUGCAAGUCGAACGGCAGCACAGUAAGAGCUUGCUCUUACGGGUGGCGAGUGGCGGACGGGUGAGGAAUACAUCGGAAUCUACUUUUUCGUGGGGGAUAACGUAGGGAAACUUACGCUAAUACCGCAUACGACCUACGGGUGAAAGCAGGGGAUCUUCGGACCUUGCGCGAUUGAAUGAGCCGAUGUCGGAUUAGCUUGUUGGCGGGGUAAAGGCCCACCAAGGCGACGAUCCGUAGCUGGUCUGAGAGGAUGAUCAGCCACACUGGAACUGAGACACGGUCCAGACUCCUACGGGAGGCAGCAGUGGGGAAUAUUGGACAAAGGGCGCAAGCCUGAUCCAGCCAUACCGCGUGGGUGAAGAAGGCCUUCGGGUUGUAAAGCCCUUUUGUUGGGAAAGAAAAGCAGCAGGUUAAUACCCCGCUGUUCUGACGGUACCCAAAGAAUAAGCACCGGCUAACUUCGUG